RNAcentral lists this long non-coding RNA (2850 nucleotides) under Sus scrofa (pig). RNAcentral describes it as "lncRNA (ENSSSCG00035026022.1)". Lineage: Eukaryota; Metazoa; Chordata; Mammalia; Artiodactyla; Suidae. The record is from RNAcentral.
GCCUCUGCACUAAAGGUAUUUGAUAGGGCUUAUGUCUGAUGGUGACUUUGUUACCAGGCUAAACCCGAGUCCAUUCACCUGCACCCAGUAAAGCCAAUCUACUGUUAGCAUCUAUUGCAGGACACCAAGCAAGGAGAACAGGCAACUCCUGCUCAAAAGACCCAAACUCCCGGAUGGCUUUCAGGGAAAGAGGUGCAUGGCUCAUGAUCUGCUUGUGCCCAGUUCUCAGAUUGGCUGGCAUCAAGGUGAAGUUUCAAGCAUCAUCAACCUUCUGGUUUCAACUAGUCUCUGUUAUUAUGGAAAUGCAGCUUCUACAGGUCAUAAAGGUGUAAAGAUGGGGCACGCUGGCAGGGAUGGAUCCCUGGCCGGAGAGUCCGAAGCCCCUUCCACCCCUGCAGCUCUUCUCCAAAGGGAACACUCUGUUCCUUUCCUUGGGUGAACCAGACUCAGGCCCCUGCUGGUUCUUGAGUCAGCGGGGAGGCUGACCCAGCAGCCGCCUCCUGGCCAGGUCAGUUCAGUGUCUGGGCUCUCUCUGGGCCCUGUCGUCCUUUGCUGAAAGCACCAGCUUCUUCAGCGAUGCUGAAUUCUCAUGAAAUGUUAGAGCCUCGUUGCUUUUGUUGCUUUUGUUUGCCUCAUUGCUUUUGUUUUGAUGUGUCUUAAAAUAAUUAGGCUUUUAUUCUCACAUUAUUUCCAUUCACCCCUCCCGGCUAAUGAGGCAUCUAACUCACCACACCAGGGCAGGGCGUGCUACUAUGGUAUCCAGUAAACAGUCGCUAAACAAAGCCAAAAGGCCUGCUCAGAUCAAAUUCCCUUUUGUACUUGCUCUUACAUCUGUCCUGAGCUAGGCAGUUGCUGUCAAAAAAAUGAAAUCCACUGCACCUCUAUGAGGAGUUUAAGAAAAGCAGCCGUUUGGACUUUUUCCAACAACUUCCUUGCAACAGCUUCAUUAUCCAUUUGCUAGUUAGCAAGUUGGUCUAGGAAGAAGUCUUCUUUUACUCUUGGAAAGUAUGCACUUGGAAAUGCCCAGUAAAAACCAGUAUGUGCUGAACGCCUGCUCCCUGCCAGAUUCUGAGGGAUGGGACAGCAUCGUACAGUCAGGCUGGGAACAUGGGGGCCGAGGAGAACCAACCAAGAGGCCUGGUGAGCGAUCGGCUGCCUGAGACCAGCAGAGCAUGUCACCCAGCAGUUGAGGUCAGGCAGGGUCCCUGGGAGGAAGGGACAUACUUCCCUGUCUGAGGGCGACUACCUCCCUGUCACCCAGUCCUUGCACGUGGAGCCCAAACCCACUCUAGGCAAAGGUGGCUAAGCAGCUGGUCUCCUGUCCAGCCCCCUGCGUUUCCCCACAUGUCCCUUCAGACACUGCUGUCAAUUCCCAGUGUAUUUCACAACUUAGCAGUUCGAUGCCUUGGUUAUACUCUUAAUUCCUUUUCUACACAGAAUCUCAAUACUCCUUAUACUAAUAACCCUGGGAGGAAGGAAUACUUCUUCUUCCCAAGUAACAACAGGAAAAGUCAGAGAGGUUAAGGAAUUUGCCUAAGUCACCCAGCAAGGGGUGAAGCCAGGGUUCAGACUCUCAUGGGUCCCGUCCUCCAUCUGAUGGACCCUGGCCUUCAGAGCUGUAAUUUGCAAUUUUGGCGCCCAGGGCUAAUAGCACAAAAGCUCAGCAAAUUAUAUUGUGAUUUAUUAUGUGCCUCAAAGAACAACCAGCAGCUUCCUGUUUUAGCUGUUCUUGCUUAGGACAGUUUCUAACUGAAGAAAUUCAUGUGCUGUCAACAUGUAAAUGUCAUCCUUUUGUUUGUUUCAACAUCUGUGCCAGGCCAGAGCCUCCCUAUGGGCCUCACAUGGACUGUGCUGAGUCUGGUCCCUGGAGUUCUGCAACCUCACUGCAAACACAAAACACAGAAGAGCUAGCACAGACCAUCCCAAGUUGCUUAAAUGUCCCAUGUCCAUGCUAGACCAGAAAAGUUCCGUGUGAUCAGAAGGAGAAGUGCCCUGUUGUGGCCUAAAGAGGUUGGGGAGGCUGAAAGGAGGCGACCAGAUUGAUGUAUGGACAGGAUUUAGGGCCGGAGGGGAAUUGAAAGCGAGAAAUGGAAGCAUACAAUUGAGGCUGGGACGGGAGAGGACAUUGACAAGAGGCAGUAUGAAAAGUUGGAAAAGCACGUUGGAGCCAAACUGGUCAGAAAUUUCACUACCAGGAUGAGGAGCCGAGGGUGGAAGCUGGGAGAAGAGGCUGGAAGUGAUGCCCCAAGAGAGAGCAUGAAAACCUGUCCUAGAGUGGGAGGGCAGGGGAGAAAAGCCAGAAGCAUGCUGAAGGAAGCGUGGGCCCCUGUCCCAGGCACCCCGAAUCCCUGCUCUCUGGUCAACAGUAUAACUAACUGGGAAUGAUGAUUAACUGCUAAGGGGCAGGCCACGUUGGCUCUUGCUGGCUCUACAAUACCUUUUCUAGAAAAAAAAGUGUUACAAAGUUGCCAGUGUCCACUCCCAGCCUCUUGGAUGAUCAGCUGCCUACUUCACUCAAUUCCUCCUGUCAACCGUACUUAACUCCCUCAGCCUAUUCGCUUAUCUAUAAAAUCAGCAUAAAAUGAUUCUGCCUGCCUAGAGUUAUUGGGGGGUUGAAUGAGAUAACGCACAGAAAAUGCGAAGGACCGGGCUGGGCACCAGGAAACAUCCACCACAUAUGAGCCACCUGUGUGACAAUCUGCUCCCUUGAUCAGUUGGAACCAGCGCCUCCCAAGCCCUGAGCGUGCUCUCUGAGGACUCGCCACUGUGGAAAGUGGCUCUUUUUCACUUUCUCUGGGAAACAUUAAGCACUAGCAAACCAGCAAUCAAGUGCAUUUAAAGUGUGAGCCC